Molecule: ribosomal RNA, 477 nt
Filed under: uncultured organism
Description: partial 16S ribosomal RNA
Rfam family: Bacterial small subunit ribosomal RNA
Source: RNAcentral
UACACUCCUGCGGGAGGCAGCAGUGGGGAAUUUUGGCCAAUGGGCGAAAGCCUGAUCCAGCAAUGCCGCGUGUGUGAAGAAGGCCUUCGGGUUGUAAAGCACUUUUGUCCGGAAAGAAAUCCUUGGCUCUAAUACAGUCGGGGGAUGACGGUACCGGAAGAAUAAGCACCGGCUAACUACGUGCCAGCAGCCGCGGUAAUACGUAGGGUGCGAGCGUUAAUCGGAAUUACUGGGCGUAAAGCGUGCGCAGGCGGUUUGCUAAGACCGAUGUGAAAUCCCCGGGCUCAACCUGGGAACUGCAUUGGGGACUGGCAGGCUAGAGUAUGGCAGAGGGGGGUAGAAUUCCACGUGUAGCAGUGAAAUGCGUAGAGAUGUGGAGGAAUACCGAUGGCGAAGGCAGCCCCCUGGGCCAAUACUGACGCUCAUGCACGAAAGCGUGGGGAGCAAACAGGAUUAGAUACCCCAGUAGUCCCAUGA